AACGCUAGCUACAGGCUUAACACAUGCAAGUCGAGGGGCAGCAUUUUAGUUUGCUUGCAAACUAAAGAUGGCGACCGGCGCACGGGUGAGUAACACGUAUCCAACCUGCCGAUAACUCGGGGAUAGCCUUUCGAAAGAAAGAUUAAUAUCCGAUGGUAUAUUAAAACCGCAUGGUUUUACUAUUAAAGAAUUUCGGUUAUCGAUGGGGAUGCGUUCCAUUAGUUUGUUGGCGGGGUAACGGCCCACCAAGACUACGAUGGAUAGGGGUUCUGAGAGGAAGGUCCCCCACAUUGGAACUGAGACACGGUCCAAACUCCUACGGGAGGCAGCAGUGAGGAAUAUUGGUCAAUGGACGAGAGUCUGAACCAGCCAAGUAGCGUGAAGGAUGACUGCCCUAUGGGUUGUAAACUUCUUUUAUAUGGGAAUAAAGUAUUCCACGUGUGGGAUUUUGUAUGUACCAUAUGAAUAAGGAUCGGCUAACUCCGUGCCAGCAGCCGCGGUAAUACGGAGGAUCCGAGCGUUAUCCGGAUUUAUUGGGUUUAAAGGGAGCGUAGGUGGAUUGUUAAGUCAGUUGUGAAAGUUUGCGGCUCAACCGUAAAAUUGCAGUUGAAACUGGCAGUCUUGAGUACAGUAGAGGUGGGCGGAACUCGUGGUGUAGCGGUGAAAUGCUUAGAUAUCACGAAGAACUCCGAUUG
RNAcentral lists this ribosomal RNA (695 nucleotides) under uncultured bacterium. RNAcentral's name for it is "bacterial SSU rRNA". It matches the Rfam family "Bacterial small subunit ribosomal RNA", at positions 32 to 715 of the family's 1533-position model. The record is from RNAcentral.